AGAGUUUGAUCAUGGCUCAGGACGAACACUGGCGGCGUGGAUUAGGCAUGCAAGUCGAACGCGAAAGAUAACCUUCGGGCUAUCGAGUAGAGUGGCGGACGGGCGAGUAACGCGUAGGUAAUUUGCCUUUAAGUGGGGGAUAGCUCCCGGAAACGGGAAUUAAUACCGCAUGUGCCCGAUGCAAAUCGGGUAAAGGUGGCCUCUGACAUAAGCUAUCGCUUAGAGAUAAGCCUGCGUCCUAUUAGUUAGUUGGUGAGGUAAAGGCUCACCAAGGCGAUGAUAGGUAGGCGGCCUUAACGGGUGGUCGCUCACACUGGGAUUGAGAUACGGCCCAGACUCCUACGGGAGGCAGCAGUCGAGAAUCGUCUACAAUGGGGGAAACCCUGAUAGUGCGACGCCGCGUGGAUGAAGAAGCAUUUCGGUGUGUAAAAUCCUUUUCUGUAUGAUCAGUGCUUGUAAGAUGAAUAGUUUUAUGAGAGGGAUAUUAGUACAGGAAUAAGCCACGGCUAACUCCGUGCCAGCAGCCGCGGUAACACGGGGGUGGCGAGCGUUGUCCGGAAUUACUAGGCGUAAAGGGUAAGUAGGUGGAGAUGUAAGUCAGGUGUUAAAGGCGUCGGCUCAACCGACGUACGGCAUUUGAUACUGUGUUUCUAGAGUAAGGUAGGGGAAGACGGAAUUCCUGGUGUAGCGGUGGAAUGCGCGGAUAUCAGGAGGAACACCGGAGGCGAAGGCGGUCUUCUAUGCCAUUACUGACACUCAAUUACGAAGGUGUGGGUAUCAAACAGGAUUAGAUACCCUAGUAGUCC
RNAcentral lists this ribosomal RNA (806 nucleotides) under uncultured bacterium. RNAcentral's name for it is "bacterial SSU rRNA". It matches the Rfam family "Bacterial small subunit ribosomal RNA", at positions 8 to 796 of the family's 1533-position model. The record is from RNAcentral.